RNAcentral lists this ribosomal RNA (468 nucleotides) under uncultured bacterium. RNAcentral describes it as "partial 16S ribosomal RNA". It matches the Rfam family "Bacterial small subunit ribosomal RNA", at positions 28 to 507 of the family's 1533-position model. The record is from RNAcentral.
GACGAACGCUGGCGGCGUGCUUAACACAUGCAAGUCGAACGGAAAGGCCCUGCUUUUGUGGGGUGCUCGAGUGGCGAACGGGUGAGUAACACGUGGGUAACCUGCCCUUGACUUUGGGAUAACUUCAGGAAACUGGGGCUAAUACCGGAUAGGAGCUCCUUCUUCAUGGUGGGGGUUGGAAAGUUUCGGCGGUUGGGGAUGGACUCGCGGCUUAUCGGCUUGUUGGUUGGGUAGUGGCUUACCAAGGCUUUGACGGGUAGCCGGCCUGAGAGGGUGACCGGCCACAUUGGGACUGAGAUACGGCCCAGACUCCUACGGGAGGCAGCAGUGGGGAAUAGUGCACAAUGGGCGGAAGCCUGAUGCAGCAACGCCGCGUGCGGGAUGACGGCCUUCGGGUUGUAAACCGCUUUCGCCUGUGACGAAGCGUGAGUGACGGUAAUGGGUAAAGAAGCACCGGCUAACUACGUG